Molecule: ribosomal RNA, 253 nt
Filed under: uncultured bacterium
Lineage: Bacteria
Description: partial 16S ribosomal RNA
Rfam family: Bacterial small subunit ribosomal RNA
Source: RNAcentral
UACGGGGGGGGCAAGCGUUGUUCGGAAUUACUGGGCGUAAAGGGCGCGUAGGCGGCCUUCCAAGUCGAACGUGAAAUCCCCGGGCUCAACCCGGGAACUGCGUCCGAUACUGGAAGGCUUGAAUCCGGGAGAGGGAUGUGGAAUUCCAGGUGUAGCGGUGAAAUGCGUAGAUAUCUGGAGGAACACCGGUGGCGAAGGCGGGUCUCUGGGCCGAUACUGACGCUGAGGAGCGAAAGCGUGGGGAGCGAACAGG